CUUCAUCAAAUUCUGUCAGAUGUCAAUAAUUUUUUCGUUUGUACUGAACUUUAAUAAGUGUCUCAAAAAACAGUUUUUAUCAAAACUACAGAUCAUUGUGGAAUAAUCUCAGUUCUUUGGCGCAAUCAUCAUGCCUAUUACCGUAAUGGGGUGUUAAAUGAGGAUGGGGAUGGAGUGUACUCUGUGGAGGCGUCUAAAAACGAGUAUCUAGUGAAAUGUUCUGUUGUCAUUGAUGAAGAAUCUUUGAAGACGCUAUAUGGCGAAUUAUGGCCAGAUUUAACGACACUGGUAGCAUUUCUAAGUGAAAACCGACGGGGAGACCUCAAGUUAGUG
Zophobas morio is the source of this 333-nucleotide long non-coding RNA. RefSeq lists it as uncharacterized. The transcript is spliced from 3 exons. NCBI's taxonomy places the organism in Eukaryota, Metazoa, Arthropoda, Insecta, Coleoptera, Tenebrionidae. The record is from RefSeq and is a predicted model, not a curated record.